UCCCUGGUGGUCCAGUGGCUAGGACUCUGCCCUUCCAAUGCAGGGAGCCCAGGUUCAAUCUCUGCUCAGGAAA
Molecule: transfer RNA, 73 nt
Filed under: Ovis aries (sheep)
Lineage: Eukaryota; Metazoa; Chordata; Mammalia; Artiodactyla; Bovidae
Rfam family: tRNA
About the family: Transfer RNA (tRNA) molecules are approximately 80 nucleotides in length. Their secondary structure includes four short double-helical elements and three loops (D, anti-codon, and T loops).
Source: Rfam by way of RNAcentral